Molecule: transfer RNA, 72 nt
Filed under: Bos taurus (domestic cattle)
Lineage: Eukaryota; Metazoa; Chordata; Mammalia; Artiodactyla; Bovidae
Also listed under: 3 other names
Rfam family: tRNA
About the family: Transfer RNA (tRNA) molecules are approximately 80 nucleotides in length. Their secondary structure includes four short double-helical elements and three loops (D, anti-codon, and T loops). Further hydrogen bonds mediate the characteristic L-shaped molecular structure. tRNAs have two regions of fundamental functional importance: the anti-codon, which is responsible for specific mRNA codon recognition, and the 3' end, to which the tRNAs corresponding amino acid is attached (by aminoacyl-tRNA synthetases). tRNAs cope with the degeneracy of the genetic code in two manners: having more than one tRNA (with a specific anti-codon) for a particular amino acid; and 'wobble' base-pairing, i.e. permitting non-standard base-pairing at the 3rd anti-codon position.
Source: Rfam by way of RNAcentral
UCCCUGGUGGCUCAGACAGUAAAGCAUCUGCCUGCGAUGCAGGAGACCCAGGUUCGAUCCCUGGGUCGGGAA